GACGAACGCYGGCGGCGUGCCUAAUACAUGCAAGUCGAGCGAAUGACGAGGAGCUUGCUCCUCUGAUUUAGCGGCGGACGGGUGAGUAACACGUGGGCAACCUGCCCUGCAGACUGGGAUAACUUCGGGAAACCGGAGCUAAUACCGGAUAAUCCAUUUUACUUCAUGGUGAAAUGUUGAAAGGCGCUUUCGCGCCACUGCAGGAUGGGCCCGCGGUGCAUUAGCUAGUUGGUGGGGUAACGGCCUACCAAGGCGACGAUGCAUAGCCGACCUGAGAGGGUGAUCGGCCACAUUGGGACUGAGACACGGCCCAAACUCCUACGGGAGGCAGCAGUAGGGAAUCUUCCACAAUGGACGAAAGUCUGAUGGAGCAACGCCGCGUGAGUGAUGAAGGUUUUCGGAUCGUAAAACUCUGUUGUAAGGGAAGAACAAGUACGUUAGGAAAUGAACGUACCUUGACGGUACCUUAUUAGAAAGCCACGGCUAACUACGUGC
Molecule: ribosomal RNA, 495 nt
Filed under: Rummeliibacillus sp.
Lineage: Bacteria; Bacillati; Bacillota; Bacilli; Caryophanales; Caryophanaceae
Description: bacterial SSU rRNA
Rfam family: Bacterial small subunit ribosomal RNA
Source: RNAcentral